Molecule: unclassified non-coding RNA, 5382 nt
Organism: Orbicella faveolata
Lineage: Eukaryota; Metazoa; Cnidaria; Anthozoa; Scleractinia; Merulinidae
Source: RefSeq, a predicted model, not a curated record
UUGUUUUGCUAAACGACGAAGUCACCGAAACGUGGCAUUUGCCACUAGUUUUAUUAUACAUAUAAUUACGCUAUUUUCUUACUGCUGCUUUGUUAGCGCAAGUGAAUAAGGCACUGAACAGACCCGAUUCGAGUUUGUUUCAACUGUUAAAAUAGAAACACAAUUUUAUACCAAUCAGCAGGGAUAUUUUCUUUGGGCUGUUCAUUUUUCUAAUGAUGAAUGGCUUAGCUGCUACAAGUUCCCUGUAGCUCAUUGGUAGAACAUCCAACCAUUUCAUACAAUUUCAACAUAUGCUGGAACAAUUCUGUAGUUUGGUUUCCAACUAGCUUGUGGUACUAACUAAUAAACAUCUUCCUGAAGUGGCUGUUGUGGGUAUAUGUCAAAUAAAUACUAUUUAUUUUGGUAAUCCAUUAGUUUACGAUUUUAUUGUUCUUGUUUACUUUGGAAUUGAUUUAUUUUUAGGUUUGUGUGUUGUCUUUAUUUAGUUUGUCUUUGUUAACUUUGAGAGUUAACUCUCCAUUGAUUAGCUUUUAUUACAAGUGGGCAUACUAAUGGAACAAGAGGUAAAGUUAUUCCAUUUUCAUUUAGAAAUGUUAAUUUUUGUUGAUUUUCCUGUUGCUUAGGGUGAUCAAGUUGGUAAAGUUGUUGUCAAGCUAAGAGGAUCACGAUGUGGAGGUUGUCGAAGAGUAAAUGAUUCUGAACGCCCACAUGCCUUUGAGAUUGUAGCUGAGGAUGGAUCACCAUUAAUUCUUCUUGCUGCCUUUAGCGAGGAUGAUGCUACUGAUUGGAUUUUUAGACUUUGCCAGGCUGUUGCUGAAACGUGUGACAGUGAAGACGAAAUGAGUUGCACAUUGAUGAAUUGCGUGCCCUGUUGUCUCAUCCUCACUAAUGUCAAGUUGGAGUGAAAUCUUUACCACAUCGUGUUAUCUAGUGAGACUCCAGACAGUCAACCAUUACAGGAAAGAUCUUAUGAAGACAUGAUUGAUCAUCGCAGUUAUAUACACAACCUAAGCAGCUGUGAAAUUAAAGCCUGAAAAAAUUUCAGGCCUGACCGGGAUUUGAACCCUUAACCUCUGUGAUACUUGUGCAGUACUCUACCAACUGAGCAAUCAAGCCAGCUGGGAGCUGGUCAAGUUGUGAGUUGUGAGUUCAUAUAUUCACUUGUAUCUUCACCAUGUGCCGGUAUAUUACGAACUGACAACUUGACCAACUCCCAGUUGGCUUGAUAACUCAGUUGGUAGAGCACUGCACUGGUAUUACAGAGGUCAUGGGUUCAAAACCCCAAUCUAGCCUGAAUGUUUUUCAGGCUUUAUAGUUUCACAACUGCUUAAAUAUAAUGAUCUUUUGAGAUCAUACCCAAAUAUAUGAUCUUUCAUAUAUUCGCGUGUAGAACAGAUUUUGUUGUAUUGUAAUCGGCCUUUUAUUUUGAUGGCUGAUGUAGUCAGUCAUACAUUCUUCUUUUUUUUACCUCGUAACUGAGAAGUGGUUAAGUUGAUAUUCUCUUUUGUCCAAAAGAUUGUGGCUUGUCUUACCAACCCAACCAGAGAGGAAACAUUUGAGCUCCUGAGUGAAUGCUCUGUGGAAAGUGUUACUAGACUGUUUCUGGACAAUGAUGUCAGGAACUAUUGUAUUUUGGGGUUUGAACGUAGUGAAUUAGCAGGCACAGAAUCAUCUUGGUUUGUUUGGUUUAAAACGGAAUAUGAACUUGCAAAGUUUGAACGUGGUCUAUUACAAGCUUGGCAAGAACUUUUCCAGGUUGAUCUUCAGUUUCUAGUACUUGGUGAUGGAUCAAUGCGUGCAGUAGCAAGACAACAGGCAAAGAAUAUUGAGGAUCUCUAUAAAAGCCAAAUGGCUUAGUGCAGCCAAUGGCAUACAAUAUUUGAUAUUUUCUAACCCAUUCAACAAAAUAUGUUCGUGGUUUUUCUUUGGAGUCUAAUCACAUACUCUUAACUCAUAAUCAAAAAUGCUGCCUACAUUCUUCUAGGCCUUGUGUCAUAAUUAUUUGACUGGAUGCUUAAAAGAAUAUCGAUUCUUCUUCCCCUCAGAGGAAUAGUCAUGUCAUGUCAUUAGCAUAAAGGAAAACAUCAUCAUCUCACAUGGCAAUUGAUUGACAUUGUCAGGGGAACAGGGUGUCACACCAGAAAAGUCACUCAAUAAGUUACACCAAAUGAAAUUUUUUCAAAAACCUACUAACGAGAAAAUUUAAUCCAAAAAGACCUAAAUUUACAUUGCAGGAUAUGUGCUGCAGUCUAACCCUAACCCUAAUUUACUCAAAGGGCUGAUUUUAUCCCACAGCGUUGACAGGACGUUUGCUGCGGUCCUAGUGACCAGCAUCCGACCAACCAAAAACUAUUUAAAAUCAAGUAGCAGUUCUGCCAUGUUCUCAUCAUCGGGCAUGUAACGAACUUACCCCAUGUACUCUCUCACACAGCUAUACAUAGUAUACAAGUCAAGAAAGCCGCUUGUGUGUUAUUCGAUACAAAAGUUGAGUCUUAACUAAAUGGUUGUGCCUUGGUUACCGCCCGACACGUUCAUUACUUAGGUUGGUUGGUUUUCUCUUAUCCCACAGCCCUAAUAUGAAAAAUUCGUAAUAAACAGGCACUCGACCACAACCAAAAUGCGUGAGAUUCUGUCAUGUGUCAUAUUUUACCAGAGUGUCAUGCAAAAUGAAACCCCCAUGCAAAAUGCUCUCUUAUAGGGUUGGUGCACAAGGUUGUGUGUAGGGGAGGGCAAAAUAAUCAUGUUAUCCAAGACAAAAGAGUCAAAUACCAAAGUUAUAUUUUUUGAUGAGACAAUUUUUACAUAACAUUUCUUACCUACUUAACAGUCUCGUUGUUGAUUCAGGGCAUACCUUUGAAGACUUCUUUUUGUUUUCAUCAUCGGAGUCAUCAACUUUUGGGAUAUUUCUUGGAAGUCUGUUCUAAGUAUAUGUAGUGUAUACCUAACCGAAAAUAAAGGUUGGAAGUCUUUGAUCUAUCUUUCCACCACUGCCUUCACUCAUAAAAUGGUGAAGAGUGUUGUAUUGUGUCACACCUCAUACAAUCAGUCCCCUUUAGAUGCUGCAAAUGGAUCCUUCACAGUUUCUUCUACUUAGUAAUAGGAGUUUGAAAGUGGUAAUCUAGGCAUAGCCAUUGUACUUUCUCACAUUGUUGUUUAAUGUCUUCCACUUUCUCGCUCAGCAUCCUCUCACUGAUGGUUGUCUCCUAUAGCACCUCACCUUCCUCUUGAGAGUUAUUUCUGUUCUCUUCCUCUUACUACACUUCUUCCUUCUCCUUCUGCUGCCCUGAACAUUUUCUUUGUCACUUCUAUAUUCUUCCUCAAAUUGAAAAUAUCCGGUGUACAGUCACCCAUGGUUUAUGAGGGUAUUCUCCCUGUCUCUCGUUCCCUCUUUCCCUACAGCCUUUUACUACUGCAUUGUGUUUUAAAUGAGAUGGAUCGAUUUUUAAUACUGUAUACAAUUUUGCCAGCUUUGCGGUAUCUUUUGUGCAUCAAGAGGUGACUAAACACCCAUGUCCCGUUCUUGCUGGCUGGGUGUAGGUCUAGGACUGUGUACCGGAAUAGUUUUUCCAUCGUGAAACAUUGUGGGAAAGCCUUGGCUGUGUCAGGCCUUAUUGAUUGCACGGAUUCUUGAUUGCCAUGAUGUAAUGAACGUUACGGGAGAUGACAUAUUUGCCCAUUGGAAAAAUGUCGUGGCACAAGUACAACACAAUGAUAUUUUGAUGCUGAGAAUGUUUGAUGAAUAAAUCCCGUAACUCUAUCUUCACCUCCCUCUGCCAUUACAUCGUCUAACACCAGUAGUCCCCUUUUAUGGAACCACUUUAGCAUUUGGGUGGUCUCAGGGAUCCCCUUGUGAAAUUGAGUGCCUUCAUCUUGCGUGUUCUGGUACCUUUUUUGCCACGUUCCAUGGCAGUAAUUAACUGCGUUAGGGGGAUUGAUAAACAAUUCUUGUAAGUGAUUCAAGAGUAACAACUUUGUAAAGAAAUUGUGCCACAACCAGAGGGACCCAUGAACAAAACACAAGAGGCUGUCUUGAACUGAAAUGCCUCUCUUAUUUCAAUUCUUUUUGGGAUCCCUUCAUUGUCUUGCUUGUCCUGGUACCCAUUUGGCCGUGCUUCAUAGCAGUAAUGAAUCACAGGAGGAGACGGUUUGCAAACAAUUCUCGGCUCGACUCAGUGAAAACGUCUUGCCACAACCAGAGCGACCUGUAAACAAAAUACUAGACAAUGUCUUGACCUCAGAGGCUUUCCUAUUUCCACUCUAUAAGGAAAUGUAGCACUGAAGAUGGAGGGUAGUAGUUUGCCGUGACACUUGCAAGUGGUUUCCAAGUAUAUCUCUCAUGAUGUCUCCUGCUACCAGCACGAGUAAAUGGCUUUUGUGAAAGUAAGAGAUUCAAUGUGACAUAAUUUCCUCUUUGCUCCCUCCUCUUGCAGUUGGGUUAAACUCGGAAUAUAUAUGAUAUUUUUAACAUCAUUUGGUUUUUCCACCAGCUACUUAUCAUCACCCUGCAGGGUAUCUGCAACACCCUGCUCAGUUUCCACAGUCCCCUACAGAAAACGUUCUAGGAAGAAGUGCACAGCACCAUAAAAGACUACAAUCUGUGAGAGGCUCUGCUCUAGAAACUUUCUCUCUCUUUGCCUACAAAGCCUUCUUGGCGGAUUUUUCGGACUUCGAAAUACGCUGCUCAUCGUCCGGGGUAUCCGCUAAAUCGUCAGUCACACGCUGAAACAGUCGCCCAACCGCAUCCCGAUCGAUCGGCAAGUUUAAUCAAUUUCUGACGCCCAGCCAAAAGCUGCUCACCUUCCCGUAACUCCUCCUUUGCGCUAACCAUUGUUCCCAUGACAAUGUCAAUCAAUCGUCACGUGCCAUAUACGUUUCCUUUGGCUAAUGAGGUCUCGACAUCACAUCAAGGUUUUUAGGUCAAUUCUGAGGUUCGGACUUCUGUUACAGAAAUCUGCUGUGCAAAGCAAGUGCAGGUGCAAGAGAUGAAAGGACCCAUUGUCUUCCACACUAUUCCAUUUUAUAUCGGUGUUAUCAACCACGGGAAGCCAUGUUUUUAUCUUACUAUUCAUAGCGUUAUUAUAAAGACAAGGAAGGGCUCGUGAAAGAUAAUUAUCUUCAAUUAUGCUUUGUUAUAAUGUCACAGUCUGGAAAAAAUUAAGAACUGCCAUCAAAAUAAAUUAAAUCAAUGUUUCUCAGGAAAGCAAGUUAAAUGUUUCUUGGGCAUAAAAGUUCAGGACAGUGAUCCGAUCUUAUGAGACUUUUGAUAGACUAUAAAGCUACAGCUGAACUGGUUGCGAACACCUCUAGUAAGCGACCACUUCUCCUCGGUGACCAGUUUUCCAAAGUACCAAAAGUUUCAAAGUCAAAGCACUAUAUUUGGAA